Molecule: ribosomal RNA, 143 nt
Filed under: Candidatus Mnemosynella bozhongmuii
Lineage: Archaea; Methanobacteriati; Methanobacteriota; Archaeoglobi; Candidatus Mnemosynellales; Candidatus Mnemosynellaceae
Description: partial 16S ribosomal RNA
Rfam family: Archaeal small subunit ribosomal RNA
Source: RNAcentral
AGACCCUGGUUGAUCCUGCCAGAGGCCACUGCUAUCGGGGUCCGACUAAGCCAUGCGAGUCGAGAGGGUUCGGCCCUCGGCGCACGGCUCAGUAAAACGUGGACAACCUGCCCUCGGGUGGGGGAUAACCCCGGGAAACUGGG